GGCGUAGGUGGUCCUUCAAGUCUGAUGUGAAAUCUCCCGGCUUAACUGGGAGGGUGCAUUAGAAACUGCUGGACUAGAGUGCAUCAGAGGAAGAUGGAAUUCCCGGUGUAGUGGUGAAAUGCGUAGAUAUCGGGAGGAACACUAGUGGCGAAGGCGGUCUUCUGGGAUGUAACUGACACUGAGGUCCGAAGGCGUGGGUAGCAAACA
This 207-nucleotide ribosomal RNA is filed under the name uncultured bacterium. Its description in RNAcentral is "partial 16S ribosomal RNA". It matches the Rfam family "Bacterial small subunit ribosomal RNA", at positions 568 to 774 of the family's 1533-position model. The record is from RNAcentral.